Molecule: ribosomal RNA, 467 nt
Filed under: uncultured bacterium
Lineage: Bacteria
Description: partial 16S ribosomal RNA
Rfam family: Bacterial small subunit ribosomal RNA
Source: RNAcentral
GACGAACGCUGGCGGCGUGCUUAACACAUGCAAGUCGAACGGAAAGGCCCUGCUUUUGUGGGGUGCUCGAGUGGCGAACGGGUGAGUAACACGUGAGUAACCUGCCCUUGACUUUGGGAUAACUUCAGGAAACUGGGGCUAAUACCGGAUAGGAGCUCCUGCUGCAUGGUGGGGGUUGGAAAGUUUCGGCGGUUGGGGAUGGACUCGCGGCUUAUCAGCUUGUUGGUGGGGUAGUGGCUUACCAAGGCUUUGACGGGUAGCCGGCCUGAGAGGGUGACCGGGCACAGUGGGGCAGGGAGAUGCGCCCGAGACCCUCGGGGGGGACAGGGGGGGGAAAUUUUGCAAAGGGGGGGGGACCGUGAGGGAACCGCGGCGUGGGGGGGAGGGGCCUCUGGGGUUGAAAACCCGUUUGCCUGUGUGAAAGGGUGGGUGAGGGUAAAGGGGGAAAAAAAACACCGUAAAUAUGU